UACGGGGGGGGCAAGCGUUGUUCGGAAUUACUGGGCGUAAAGGGCGCGUAGGCGGCCUGUUAAGUCGAACGUGAAAUCCCUGGGCUCAACCCAGGAACUGCGUCCGAUACUGGCAGGCUUGAAUUCGGGAGAGGGAUGCGGAAUUCCAGGUGUAGCGGUGAAAUGCGUAGAUAUCUGGAGGAACACCGGUGGCGAAGGCGGCAUCCUGGACCGAUAUUGACGCUGAGGCGCGAAAGCUAGGGGAGCAAACGGG
RNAcentral lists this ribosomal RNA (253 nucleotides) under uncultured bacterium. RNAcentral describes it as "partial 16S ribosomal RNA". It matches the Rfam family "Bacterial small subunit ribosomal RNA", at positions 524 to 776 of the family's 1533-position model. The record is from RNAcentral.